GGUUGACCUCGGAUCAGGUAGGGAUACCCGCUGAACUUAAGCAUAUCAAUAAGCGGAGGAAAAGAAACCAACAGGGAUUGCCUCAGUAACGGCGAGUGAAGCGGCAAGAGCUCAAAUUUGAAAGCUGGCCCCCUCGGGGUCCGCGUUGUAAUUUGCAGAGGAUGCUUCGGGUGCAGCCCCCGUCUAAGUGCCCUGGAACGGGCCGUCAUAGAGGGUGAGAAUCCCGUCUGGGACGGGGUGUCUGCGUCCGUGUGAAGCUCCUUCGACGAGUCGAGUUGUUUGGGAAUGCAGCUCUAAAUGGGUGGUAAAUUUCAUCUAAAGCUAAAUACUGGCCGGAGACCGAUAGCGCACAAGUAGAGUGAUCGAAAGAUGAAAAGCACUUUGAAAAGAGAGUUAAACAGCACGUGAAAUUGUUGAAAGGGAAGCGUUUGCGACCAGACUCGCCCGCGGGGUUCAGCCGGCACUCGUGCCGGUGUACUUCCCCGUGGGCGGGCCAGCGUCGGUUUGGGCGGCCGGUCAAAGGCCCUCGGAAUGUAUCACCUCUCGGGGUGUCUUAUAGCCGAGGGUGCAAUGCGGCCUGCCCGGACCGAGGAACGCGCUUCGGCUCGGACGCUGGCGUAAUGGUCGUAAAUGACC
RNAcentral lists this ribosomal RNA (636 nucleotides) under Aspergillus neoglaber. RNAcentral describes it as "eukaryotic LSU rRNA". It matches the Rfam family "Eukaryotic large subunit ribosomal RNA", at positions 1 to 649 of the family's 3401-position model. The record is from RNAcentral. RNAcentral also lists the same sequence under 1 other name. Lineage: Eukaryota; Fungi; Ascomycota; Eurotiomycetes; Eurotiales; Aspergillaceae.